RNAcentral lists this transfer RNA (82 nucleotides) under Bacteroides sp. Its description in RNAcentral is "tRNA-Leu". It matches the Rfam family "tRNA". From Rfam's summary of the family: Transfer RNA (tRNA) molecules are approximately 80 nucleotides in length. RNAcentral also lists the same sequence under 22 other names. The record is from RNAcentral. Lineage: Bacteria; Pseudomonadati; Bacteroidota; Bacteroidia; Bacteroidales; Bacteroidaceae.
GCGCAUGUGGCGUAAUUGGUAGCCGCGUUAGACUUAGGAUCUAAUGUCUCAGGACGUGGGGGUUCGAGUCCCUUCAUGCGCA